CUCGAUGUGCUACUAAAGGCUUCAUCUAACGCCAGAUCAAAUCAUCUCCGGGACAGGUACACAAAUCGAAACUACCUAGAACUUGGAGAAAACCAUGCCGAAGCCGAGCGCUUCCAAGGCGACAGGGAAGACCUGCAGGUUCAUCAGUGGUGUGGUGGAAGGGAGAAGAAGUGGGGUCUGAACACGUACCUCUACGCCCCUAAAGAUGACUACAAACACAGAAUGUACUGGAGGACCUAUACUCACCUGAGGAGGCAGGUUAGGAGGACACAGCGUCACACACACACACACACACACACACACACACAGCGUUGCAAACCCC
RNAcentral lists this long non-coding RNA (322 nucleotides) under Oncorhynchus kisutch (coho salmon). RNAcentral describes it as "lncRNA (ENSOKIG00005028490.1)". The record is from RNAcentral. Lineage: Eukaryota; Metazoa; Chordata; Actinopteri; Salmoniformes; Salmonidae.